GAAAUUUUUUUAAUCCCACAUACAUCAACAAGAUCUAGUACCACCUAUAAGCACUUAGAAGGAUCUUACAGUACCCAAUCGUAAACGUCAAUGUAUUUUUCACCACAGCGAAAUGAAUUCAUCCCACGACCCGAAAUGAACCAUUCCUUACAUCAACUAAUUCUACCACUAAUAGACAAGAUUACAAAGCUAUCAUGAGCAAUCAUAUUCCUCUGAGAGAUCCUAGCAAAGAGCACUAUAUAAAGACCAGAGCAGUUGGUAUCAAAAGAUAGGAUUGGAGUGCAAGACCAAUCACUACAACACCAAAACUGGUGCAUUUGCUCAAAGAGGACAAUCAAAUUCACAGGUGACUCAAACUUUGAGUCUUGUAAAAAAAUCUGAAGCUCAUUACCACUGGUUUCGAAAGGUGGGAUUUUAACCUGAAGACAAGCAUCCAAUCGAGACUAUCAUUUAACUCCUAGCUCUUGGGCACCAAAUUUUUUGAUUUGAGAGCACGGCUCAAGCAGCAACAACACCCAGGUGCAUCGUCUCGAGGGAAGCUGCCUCAAAAGUUACUCGCCAUCUCUGAACCUGAAGCCCGAAAGGAGAGCAACGGAUCCAAAACCGGAGUUUGGAGAGUGCUGUGUCAACAAUUCAAUCGGGUCCCCAAUAAACAAGAGUGUAGAGCACAACCACCAGUUAGCUCUAAAGCCAACACCGGCGUCGGGAUAAUGAGACUCUACCAUAUGGUUUUCAAAGCUCCACUCCUCUGGCUGACAACUUCCUAAGAUGUGGAAACCUUCCAUAUGUUGAGAAACAAAACUCUUGUUAUCUCCAACACCCGAGGGUGAAUCCAAGCUUGAAACACGUUGAUACAAAAGGAACCCACUCCUGUCGGUUUGCUACUCCUGGUUUUACGACAAGGAGUGAAAUGGAGGACACCGUGACUGGAGGAGCUAGAGAGAGCGAGACAAACUCUUGACAGAAUCAAGCCAUAGACGACUCAGACACUAACUUCAGUCGAUUGUAAUUGCACGCGCUGUCUUCAGUGGAUCUUCACCGACACGCGCCGACCAAGAGCUCCUGCACGCGUCCUCCUUAUGCAGGACCACCGGAGGCCUUCCCAAACAAAGAUCCAGAGAGUGUUCACCUACCAAACUACAGUCGGAGCAAACCACCACUGACCUAAGUUCCACUCCUUCGAGAAAACGCCUCAUCGCUUUUGGAUCUGGAGGGUUUGAGAAGGAGGAAGCUCCUGAGCAAUUCACGCGCCGCCGCCAUGAGAGCACCGCCGUAAAUCUGAAGGGGAAAAUAGAUCUGACGAGCUAUCAGCCCUAAAAGCCGACUCUCUGAACAUCCACCACUCCUUUCACCUUGCCGCUUCUCCAUAAGCGUCAGUAACUGCCGGCCAUUGAUCCUCGUAAGCAGAUUUUCGGUAUUUGGUUUCCCGACGAAAACAGAGUAGAGAGCAUAUCGGAUGGGGAUGUGGAGGUGUUGAAGAGAGCAAAAUGGAAAAAAAAUAGAAGGGAGAGGGGCGGAGCCUCCGGCACCGGCAAGGAGCGCCGAGCCGGAGCGGAAGGUGGAGGCGGCUAUGGUUUCUUCAAGUCAAGUAGAGAGAAAAAGUCUCGUGUUUUUUUUUACUCCAGGAACAUUUUUAAAAAACGAUGUGUAUCAAAAUAUGGUGAGUUAUAAAUUAUAAUUAUCUAACAUGUCUUGUUACCGUAAACGAGUUUAGCCUUAUAUAGAUCCAUUGAUUUGACCUAUUUUUACAAAAUUUACGCUAAAACUAUAUUAGAAACUAAAAUAGUGACCGAGAAAUGAAAAGAAAUAAUGCAUUCCUAAAUGUUUCUAAAAUUUUUUACCAUUCAUAAAGAAUUGUUUUUCUUUUCCAUUUCUUUUUAAUAAUUUUUUUUAUUGUAGAAAAAUAUAUAACAAAUUAUUCAUGUUCAUUAUUUUCUUAUUUAUUUCAAUGUUCCUUUGAUGGUUACCAGAGCUAAUGGCAAACGUAGUAUAGCAUUUAGAGAAAGUGGAUAUAAAAAUUAAUUAUAUAAAAAUAAUAAUUUAAUGUUAUUUCUUAAACUGAUAAUUGUUGUCUCCAUACUAAAAGAUAAAUUUGUGUCCACUAACUCUUGUUCGGGCGGUUACUUUUUUUUUCUAGAGAAAGAGACAUGCAAGUUUUUUUUUUAAAGCUGGAUAACUCUUGUUCUGUUACUUAUUUGAGAAAUCAAAUUAUUUUAUAAUUAAUUUUUAUAUCCAAUCUAUCCUAUACUGAAAGCCAAAUAUAAAGAGAUUAUAGGAUGUCCACGUCGACAAUUAUAUUUGGCCAAUGAAAAUAUUUCAUUAAUACAUGUAGGAUCUGCUCUGUCAACUGAUGAUUUCAUAUGGGCUCUGAUCUGUUCUCAUGGGCUUUAUCGGUUAGCAAUGGGCUGAGCUAUCGGGUUCAAUUGAAAAAAAAAUUCCCAAGGCGGAGAACACGACGAACUACGCCUCUCUCCUCUAUCUCUUCGAACACGAAAAACUAAUCCCUCUUGCCUGUUCAGUCGCUAUUAAUCUCGAUACAACUUCUCGCGGAUAAACAGGUUCUGAUUGCAUCGCCUCAAAGGUUUGUCAAUAUCGGUUAGUUUCUUUGUUAAUAUUGUGCCACACCAUCUCUUUCAUCACAUGAUCUUAGUCGGUUCUUUCUCUACAAUCAGCUGAUUGCUUCAUGACUUUCCUACUUUGGCGUAUUGAAACUCAUAUCCAGGAGCUGGAGGAGGAGCUUAAGCUUCUCAAGAAUCACUCUCAAGUCUCAACCAAAUAUAGUUGUAAGCAAUAAAAGGUUUUUGUAUUUCUUACAAAUGUUUGUUACGCCCACUACGUCUUUGUUUCGUUUAUAACUCUUUCAUUUAAACCCACCGAGAAUUUUGUUUCUUUUAUAACAUGAAACAUGAAACAUGAAACAUGAAAGUAAGAACUUGUGAUUGAUUUAUUAGAAAGCUGUGUUUUUGUGAACAUUAUGGUCCUGCAGAGAGAGAUAGACAAGGUUUUCUAAUAAGCAGCUUUUCCUUCGUCUCAGUGAGUCUCCUCUUUCCAUGGACGAUGGGAGAAGGUAAGUUUACAAGACAUCCCCAAUUUUGCAAUGCGUUUCUUCAAACUAAUUGUUAUAAACUUGAUUUGGAGCUUUUGGAUGUAGAAGAGAAGCGGGAAGAAAUAUGGAUGUUAUUAGUGAGGUAGCUGGAGCAUUGGCCACGGCUGAGGGACCCAAGAGCUUGAACUCAAGUGUCAUCUAAACUAAUGCUCUUCAGGACUUCUUUUUAAGGUAAAGAAUGCAUCUUCUUUGCUCGUGAGUUGAGAUUUUAUUUCUAUCUUCUCGAUCGUUUAUUUGUGGAAGUCGAGAGCUUGGGGGUUUGAGCCUAACGUCUCCACAUUGGUUCUUGUGAUCCACGCGUUACGUAGUUUGCGAUUGUACGUUGACGGAGAGAAGAUUCAUAGCUACGUGAUCUGUAGUGGGUUCUGUGGGGUUUCAUCUGUUCAAAAUUCGAUAUUGAGCUUAUACGGAGAAUGUGAUUCGCUAAGCGCACGCAAACUGUUCGACGAAAUGUCUGAAAGAGAUGUUAUUUCAUGGAGUGUUGUGAUUCGAAGUUAUGUGCAAAGUCAAUAACCUGUUUGUGGGUGGAAGUUGUUUAAAGAGAUGGUUCGUGAGGGGGAAACAGAGCCUGAUAGUGUAACUGUAACGAGUGUUCUCAAAGGCUGUGUUGUUCUUGAGGAUGUUAAUAUGGGAAGAUCAGUUCAUGGGUUUUCUAUACGUAAAGGCUUUGAUUUGGGAGAUGUUUUUGUGCGUAAUUCACUCAUCGAUAUGUAUUCCAAAGGAUUUGAUGUAGAUUUUAAGUGGUUAUCUCUUUGGUCUUCUCAUUAACAUUAUUCCUGUAAAUAAUCUUCAAAGGUCGAUUUUUGAAAUGCAAUGUAGGUUUGAUUUUCACAAAUAUCUGUUUGUAUCAGAUUCACCUUUGUAGAGUGAUUGUUUCUAUAUAUUUAAUUUCAUCUGUUGCAGCGGAGUCAGUUGUGGUUGUGGUAGAAGAAGUGGUUCAAUGACAAGAGUGAUGGUAAGAAGUAAAAUAAAGCUAGAAGACUAAAGGAGAAGAUGAAGAUCAAUGAAAAGCGGGUGGUUGGGUAAAGGAGGAGAGCCUAAAAGUUUAAGAAGGUUUUGAUUGGACAAUUGAAGUCUCAUAAGGGAAGGAACUAUAAAAUUAUUUUCACCUCCUGAAUUAUUUGUCGUGCCUGGAGGUUGUGAUUCCGGGACCGAACUCUGUUUUUGUUUUCUUUGCUGGAGAUACGAAAAACAUUUAGAGAUAUCAUUUGAUAUACUAAGCAGUUCAGAUUCUAGGUUGUCCUUAUAGAGACAGUAAAAUUUAGGAUCAGAGUUCUUAACAAAGUGAUUUCAAGCAAGCUUACUUUCUGAUUUCAUCUCAGAAUCCUCCCGUGAGCUAUAUACUAAUUGUUUUAGAGUAUCCAAUCUCCUUAUAUCCAGAACUUCAGAAGCAGAGUAUAUGUUCUUACACAUUGACUUCAGGUCGAUAACAUCAUAUAACAAUAAUUCUAUUUUUUUUUUCAAGUGCAAGCGAUACUGAAUUCACAUAGAAAACCACCGACUUUGUUAGAUGCAUAAUGCUUACCUAUGAUUAAGCAACAUCAGUCAUCAAUACUAUAAUGUGAGAAAAUCGAAUUUUGUUAUCAUACAAUGCAACACACAGAAUCACAUAACGAUAAGUUCUCCAGACUUCACUUUAUUAUAUUGAAAUCUGAGAUUAAUAGACAAAUGAACAAGACAUGAGUUUUAAAAUCCAUCCCACACAAAACUUUCCCGUGCAAAAACGGCUACUCACCCGAGAACACAGCCAGUUUUUGAACAUGAGUUACAAUCAAUCCAUGUUUUAGAAAAAAACAAUCAAAAAGGAGAAUAAGAACAAUUGCAUGUUGCUUUUUUAUAAAUACUUCCACGCACACAAAUAAACAUAUAUGUUAUGUGUUUUUUUUGGUGCAAAUGUUAUGUGGUGUUCAGUCAUUAUUUUAGGUUCAAUGUAAUCUCCUUUACAUAAUCAAUAGGCAAAGCUGUCUGUGGAUAAGCUUUGGUUUCUAAUGAUGCACGUAAUCAGUAAAUCUAAUGAAACUAAGGUUAUACACGAAACCAUGUAUGAGGACUUUUGCUCCUAGGGAUCGAAACAACUUUUGAAAGAAAAAAUUAUAUACAUACCCUAUUAUUUAUAUAAUUUACAAAAAGGUCUAUGAAAACAAAAGAAGCUAGAUUACCAAAACAAAUGCAAAUAAGAAAUCCGAUGAAUAAAAAAUAUGUAUUAAUAUGCCUAUGAUUCAAAAAUAAAUUUCUCCGGAAAAGUAAACAACAAAAAAUUGCACUCAUACAAAAAAAUAAACAAAACAUACAUUAUAUAUUAUAAUAUAUUUAAAUUAAAACAAUUACUGAAAAAGUCAUAUGACAAAUAUACUAUUUUUAACAUGAAAACUCAAAUAUUGGAACAAUCCAACAUAUAUACACUCACCAAAUAUACAUCAUACAUUACUAUGAGCUAAAAAACAAUAAAAAAAUAUCCAAACCAUGAAAUAGUAAAUCAAGCAA
Brassica rapa (field mustard) is the source of this 5590-nucleotide long non-coding RNA. RefSeq lists it as uncharacterized. Lineage: Eukaryota; Viridiplantae; Streptophyta; Magnoliopsida; Brassicales; Brassicaceae. The record is from RefSeq and is a predicted model, not a curated record.